This 470-nucleotide ribosomal RNA is filed under the name uncultured bacterium. Its description in RNAcentral is "partial 16S ribosomal RNA". It matches the Rfam family "Bacterial small subunit ribosomal RNA", at positions 28 to 507 of the family's 1533-position model. The record is from RNAcentral.
GACGAACGCUGGCGGCGUGCUUAACACAUGCAAGUCGAACGCUGAAGCACCAGCUUGCUGGUGUGGAUGAGUGGCGAACGGGUGAGUAAUACGUGAGUAACCUGCCCUUGACUCUGGGAUAAGCCCGGGAAACUGGGUCUAAUACUGGAUGCUACAUGUCACCGCAUGGUGGUGUGUGGAAAGGGUUUACUGGUCUUGGAUGGGCUCACGGCCUAUCAGCUUGUUGGUGAGGUAAUGGCUCACCAAGGCGACGACGGGUAGCCGGCCUGAGAGGGUGACCGGCCACACUGGGACUGAGACACGGCCCAGACUCCUACGGGAGGCAGCAGUGGGGAAUAUUGCACAAUGGGCGAAAGCCUGAUGCAGCGACGCCGCGGGAGGGAGGACGGCCUUCGGGUUGUAAACCUCUUUCAGCAGGGAAGAAGCCACAAGUGACGGUACCUGCAGAAGAAGCGCCGGCUAACUACGUG